RNAcentral lists this ribosomal RNA (497 nucleotides) under uncultured bacterium. RNAcentral's name for it is "partial 16S ribosomal RNA". It matches the Rfam family "Bacterial small subunit ribosomal RNA", at positions 28 to 507 of the family's 1533-position model. The record is from RNAcentral.
GACGAACGCUGGCGGCGUGCCUAAUACAUGCAAGUUGAGCGCUGAAGGUUGGUACUUGUACCAACUGGAUGAGCAGCGAACGGGUGAGUAACGCGUGGGGAAUCUGCCUUUGAGCGGGGGACAACAUUUGGAAACGAAUGCUAAUACCGCAUAAAAACUUUAAACACAAGUUUUAAGUUUGAAAGAUGCAAUUGCAUCACUCAAAGAUGAUCCCGCGUUGUGUUAGCUAGUUGGUGAGGUAAAGGCUCACCAAGGCGAUGAUACAUAGCCGACCUGAGAGGGUGAUCGGCCACAUUGGGACUGAGACACGGCCCAAACUCCUACGGGAGGCAGCAGUAGGGAAUCUUCGGCAAUGGACGAAAGUCUGACCGAGCAACGCCGCGUGAGUGAAGAAGGUUUUCGGAUCGUAAAACUCUGUUGGUAGAGAAGAACGUUGGUGAGAGCGGAAAGCUCAUCAAGUGACGGUAACUACCCAGAAAGGGACGGCUAACUACGUG